CCUUCGAUAGCUCAGUUGGUAGAGCGGAGGACUGUAGAGUGUAAGAUGACAUCCUUAGGUCGCUGGUUCGACUCCGGCUCGAAGGA
Desmophyllum pertusum is the source of this 86-nucleotide non-coding RNA. The record is from the annotation of a GenBank genome assembly. NCBI's taxonomy places the organism in Eukaryota, Metazoa, Cnidaria, Anthozoa, Scleractinia, Caryophylliidae.